RNAcentral lists this ribosomal RNA (559 nucleotides) under uncultured bacterium. RNAcentral's name for it is "partial 16S ribosomal RNA". It matches the Rfam family "Bacterial small subunit ribosomal RNA", at positions 355 to 1375 of the family's 1533-position model. The record is from RNAcentral.
UGGGGAAUAUUGGACAAUGGGCGCAAGCCUGAUCCAGCCAUGCCGCGUGAGUGAUGAAGGCCCUAGGGUUGUAAAGCUCUUUCGCCAGGGACGAUAAUGACGGUACCUGGAUAAGAAGCCCCGGCUAACUUCGUGCCAGCAGCCGCGGUAAUACGAAGGGGGCUAGCGUUGUUCGGAAUCACUGGGCGUAAAGCGCACGUAGGCGGAUCUUUAAGUCAGGGGUGAAAUCCCGAGGCUCAACCUCGGAACUGCCUUUGAUACUGGAGGUCUCGAGUCCGGGAGAGGUGAGUGGAACUGCGAGUGUAGAGGUGAAAUUCGUAGAUAUUCGCAAGAACACCAGUGGCGAAGGCGGCUCACUGGCCCGGUACUGACGCUGAGGUGCGAAAGCGUGGGGAGCGAACAGGAUUAGAUACCCUGGUAGUCCACGCCGUAAACUAUGGAUGCUAGCCGUUGGGCAGCUUGCUGUUCAGUGGCGCAGCUAACGCUUUAAGCAUCCGCCUGGGGAGUACGGUCGCAAGAUUAAAACUCAAAUGAAUUGACGGGGUCAUAGCUGUUUCCU